This 1452-nucleotide ribosomal RNA is filed under the name uncultured bacterium. RNAcentral's name for it is "bacterial SSU rRNA". It matches the Rfam family "Bacterial small subunit ribosomal RNA". The record is from RNAcentral.
GAUGAACGCUAGCUACAGGCUUAACACAUGCAAGUCGAGGGGCAGCAUUAAAGUUUGCUUGCAAACUUUAGAUGGCGACCGGCGCACGGGUGAGUAACACGUAUCCAACCUGCCGAUAACUCGGGGAUAGCCUUUCGAAAGAAAGAUUAAUACCCGAUGGUAUAUUUUCACCGCAUGGUGAAACUAUUAAAGAAUUUCGGUUAUCGAUGGGGAUGCGUUCCAUUAGGCAGUUGGUGAGGUAACGGCUCACCAAGCCUUCGAUGGAUAGGGGUUCUGAGAGGAAGGUCCCCCACAUUGGAACUGAGACACGGUCCAAACUCCUACGGGAGGCAGCAGUGAGGAAUAUUGGUCAAUGGACGAGAGUCUGAACCAGCCAAGUAGCGUGAAGGAUGACUGCCCUAUGGGUUGUAAACUUCUUUUAUACGGGAAUAAAGUGAGGCACGUGUGCCUUUUUGUAUGUACCGUAUGAAUAAGGAUCGGCUAACUCCGUGCCAGCAGCCGCGGUAAUACGGAGGAUCCGAGCGUUAUCCGGAUUUAUUGGGUUUAAAGGGAGCGUAGGCGGACGCUUAAGUCAGUUGUGAAAGUUUGCGGCUCAACCGUAAAAUUGCAGUUGAUACUGGGUGUCUUGAGUACAGUAGAGGCAGGCGGAAUUCGUGGUGUAGCGGUGAAAUGCUUAGAUAUCACGAAGAACUCCGAUUGCGAAGGCGGCUUGCUGGACUGUAACUGACGCUGAUGCUCGAAAGUGUGGGUAUCAAACAGGAUUAGAUACCCUGGUAGUCCACACAGUAAACGAUGAAUACUCGCUGUUUGCGAUAUACAGUAAGCGGCCAAGCGAAAGCGUUAAGUAUUCCACCUGGGGAGUACGCCGGCAACGGUGAAACUCAAAGGAAUUGACGGGGGCCCGCACAAGCGGAGGAACAUGUGGUUUAAUUCGAUGAUACGCGAGGAACCUUACCCGGGCUUGAAUUGCAACUGAAUGAUGUGGAGACAUGUCAGCCGCAAGGCAGUUGUGAAGGUGCUGCAUGGUUGUCGUCAGCUCGUGCCGUGAGGUGUCGGCUUAAGUGCCAUAACGAGCGCAACCCUUAUCGAUAGUUACCAUCAGGUUAUGCUGGGGACUCUGUCGAGACUGCCGUCGUAAGAUGUGAGGAAGGUGGGGAUGACGUCAAAUCAGCACGGCCCUUACGUCCGGGGCUACACACGUGUUACAAUGGGGGGUACAGAAGGCAGCUACACGGCGACGUGAUGCUAAUCCCGAAAGCCUCUCUCAGUUCGGAUUGGAGUCUGCAACCCGACUCCAUGAAGCUGGAUUCGCUAGUAAUCGCGCAUCAGCCACGGCGCGGUGAAUACGUUCCCGGGCCUUGUACACACCGCCCGUCAAGCCAUGAAAGCCGGGGGUACCUGAAGUGCGUAACCGCAAGGAGCGCCCUAGGGCAAAACUGGUGAUUGGGGCUA